ACUCCUGCGGGAGGCAGCAGUGGGGAAUAUUGCACAAUGGGCGCAAGCCUGAUGCAGCCAUGCCGCGUGUAUGAAGAAGGCCUUCGGGUUGUAAAGUACUUUCAGCGGGGAGGAAGGCGAUAAGGUUAAUAACCUUGUUGAUUGACGUUACCCGCAGAAGAAGCACCGGCUAACUCCGUGCCAGCAGCCGCGGUAAUACGGAGGGUGCAAGCGUUAAUCGGAAUUACUGGGCGUAAAGCGCACGCAGGCGGUCUGUCAAGUCGGAUGUGAAAUCCCCGGGCUCAACCUGGGAACUGCAUUCGAAACUGGCAGGCUAGAGUCUUGUAGAGGGGGGUAGAAUUCCAGGUGUAGCGGUGAAAUGCGUAGAGAUCUGGAGGAAUACCGGUGGCGAAGGCGGCCCCCUGGACAAAGACUGACGCUCAGGUGCGAAAGCGUGGGGAGCAAACAGGAUUAGAAACCCCGGUAGUCCCAUG
This 473-nucleotide ribosomal RNA is filed under the name uncultured organism. RNAcentral describes it as "partial 16S ribosomal RNA". It matches the Rfam family "Bacterial small subunit ribosomal RNA", at positions 335 to 799 of the family's 1533-position model. The record is from RNAcentral.